RNAcentral lists this ribosomal RNA (217 nucleotides) under Phlebopenes sp. D2225. RNAcentral's name for it is "partial 28S ribosomal RNA". It matches the Rfam family "Eukaryotic large subunit ribosomal RNA", at positions 967 to 1163 of the family's 3401-position model. Lineage: Eukaryota; Metazoa; Arthropoda; Insecta; Hymenoptera; Eupelmidae. The record is from RNAcentral.
UUUCCCUCAGGAUAGCUGGCACUCGCUUGAGCGAGUCUCAUCUGGUAAAGCGAAUGAUUAGAGGCCUUGGGGCCGAAACGACCUCAACCUAUUCUCAAACUUUAAAUGGGUGAGAUCUCUGGCUUGCUUGAACGUUGAAGCCACGAGAGAUUUAUUAAAACAAUGGAUCAGAGUGCCAAGUGGGCCAAUUUUGGUAAGCAGAACUGGCGCUGUGGGA